This 2369-nucleotide long non-coding RNA is filed under the name Callithrix jacchus (white-tufted-ear marmoset). RNAcentral's name for it is "lncRNA (ENSCJAG00000077571.1)". Lineage: Eukaryota; Metazoa; Chordata; Mammalia; Primates; Cebidae. The record is from RNAcentral.
AUGCCAUGGAACACCUGCAAACCAGGCAAGAAGGAAACAAAGAAUUCCAAAAGUCAGAAUUUUCUUCAUUCGCCUUUUUGCUGUGAAGUCUAUACGGAGUUUCGCUCUUGUUACCCAGGCUGGAGUGCAAUGGCAAUGGCGCGAUCUCGGCUCACCGCAACCUCUGCCUCCUGGGUUCAGGCAAUUCUCCUGCCUCAGCCUCCUGAGUAGCUGGGAUUACAGGCACACACCACCAUGCCCAGCUAAUUUUUUUGUGUUUUUAGUAGAGACGGGGUUUCACCAUGUUGACCAGGAUGGUCUCGAUCUCUUGACCUUGUGAUCCGCCCGCCUUGGCCUCCCAAAGUGCUGGGAUUACAGGCGUGAGCCACCGCGUCGGGCCCCUAAAUUUUUAUCAGUAGUGGGACAGUUAAAUUAUGGUACUAAACUCAAUGGAAUCCAAGGCAACCAUUAAAAUGAAAAAAUAUAUAUGAAUGAACAUGGAAAGAUAACUAUGAUAUAUAUAUGUGUAUAUAUAUAAUUUUUUAAAAAGCAACUUGCAAAAAAAUUUGCAAAGUAUGAUUCUAGUUUAUGUUUAAAUGGCAUAUGUUUUACAUAUAUGAAAGUAUAAACACACAUAUACAGGCACACACAUAUGUAUACCUUCUCUCAAGCAUGAUGGUUUACUUUCUGUUCCUCUUAUCUGCCAACACUAUUUGUAAGGGUCUUUGUGGUUGUUGCCUAAAGCAAAAGAUUUUUACUUCCCUUUUAUUGGUUAACUUCUGAUUUUCCGCCAGAUCUCAGCUCAUUGUUGAAAACAAUAGUACAGAAAUACCUUGCCUGAUACACCUAAUUAGCACCCAGUUCUCUUAUUACCAUUCCCUGUAUCAUGAGUAGCUCUCCUUUGUCACACUCAUCCCAAUCACAACUUUACAAUCACUCCCAUGACUCCUGGAGUGUAGUCAUCACUCUGCCUAGGGGAAUCUCUGGGAGGCUGCAGUGUGUGCUCAUGUUUCACCCUUUUAUCUUGAGAGCCUAGCUCAUGUCAAGCACUCUGUAGAAGCAAAAACUAUUAUUUGAAUAAAGCAUGAAGUAAUGAAUUCUCAUUCUCCAUUCCACAUAUGAGUAUAGCUAGUCUCUGGCUAUAAAACUUACUCUGAUCAUUCAGCUAAUAAAUACCAAGCCAGAAUUUAGACCAAACCCGAUCUCAUUCUAAAGCUUGUGAUCUGAACCAAAAAUAAAUGACCAAGUUAAAGUUUCCAAAUGAGAUUUUACUGAAGUAUAAAUGCUAACAAUCAGGAAACAACAUUUAAGAAAGAACUUUCUCUUUCUUUCUCAUAGACACCACUGGGAGGAGUAUCACUAUGAUGAGUAUUUGGAGAGGAAUGAGAGGGAGAGUGAGAAUCUUCUAAUAGAUGGUUAAAUAACAACCUGUCUUAGUUAAUUCAGGCUGCUGUGACAGAGUACCAUAGACUGUGUGGUUUAAACAACAGAACCCUAUUUCUCACAGUUCUAGAGACUGAGGAAUCUGGUGUUUGGUGAGGUUACAUUUCCUCAUUUGCAGAUAGCUGUCUCCUCCUUGUAUCCUCACAUGGAAGAGAGCUGAGAGUGAGAGCAAGCUCUUGGGUCUCUUCUUAUAAGGGCACUAAUCCUAUUCACGAGGGCUCCAUCUUUAUUACCUAAUUAUCUCCCAAGGCCCCACCUUUUAAUAUCCUCACACUGGGAAUGAGAAUAUCGACAAGUAAAUUUGAGGCAGACAUAAACAUUCAGCCUGUAAUACAAUUUUUGGGAUUUAUUUCAUUGAUAACCUACAUAAGUUUAUAGUGGUUCAAUUAUGAUCUUGUAAUUUGCUAAACCCCAUAGUUCUGAUAAAAUUCUUUCUACUAUUAUUGCCGUGCUAAUGCUUUGUCUGGGGGAAAGACAGCAUUCUCACCUACCUCUUGAAUUAAAGCAUGUUCAUUUCCACUAAUAAGCAGUAAUGACCUCAACUUUAAAAAACUCAGACCUCAAUCAAAAUUGAAAAAUCACUCGGCUUGAAAUUGAAACAAAAUUAGAUUAUAAAGGUGCUAACAUUUAGGUCUUCUUUAGCAUAUUUAAAAUUAAAAUCUUAAAGCUGAUCUAUAAACACGUAAUGUGUCAGGGUAGGUAAUAGUAUGGAGAGGUAAAAACAAACAAUGAAAACCGAAGCAAGCAUUCUACUGUAUUCUGAGGUUGACUGAAAUACCACAUUUCAUUAAAAAAAAAAAAAGACUAUAGCAGUGCUAUCAAGAUUUUCACAAAUACACUUGUCCCCUAACCCCCCCAAAAAAACUGGCUAAGAGAAUAUCUCAUUAAAGUCUGAAUGUAAAACGGUUUGAGAAGAUGUUUUUAAAAUGCUAUCUUUUAAAUUAUUU